UACGUAGGGGGCAAGCGUUGUCCGGAAUUAUUGGGCGUAAAGCGCGUGUAGGCGGUCCGGUAAGUCCGCUGUGAAAGUCGGGGGCUCAACCCUCGGAUGCCGGUGGAUACUGUCGGGCUUGAGUACGGAAGAGGCGAGUGGAAUUCCUGGUGUAGCGGUGAAAUGCGCAGAUAUCAGGAGGAACACCAAUUGCGAAGGCAGCUCGCUGGGACGUAACUGACGCUGAGACGCGAAAGCGUGGGGAGCAAACAGG
This 253-nucleotide ribosomal RNA is filed under the name uncultured bacterium. Its description in RNAcentral is "partial 16S ribosomal RNA". It matches the Rfam family "Bacterial small subunit ribosomal RNA", at positions 524 to 776 of the family's 1533-position model. The record is from RNAcentral.